This 387-nucleotide ribosomal RNA is filed under the name uncultured Enterobacteriaceae bacterium. RNAcentral's name for it is "bacterial SSU rRNA". It matches the Rfam family "Bacterial small subunit ribosomal RNA", at positions 1000 to 1382 of the family's 1533-position model. Lineage: Bacteria; Pseudomonadati; Pseudomonadota; Gammaproteobacteria; Enterobacterales; Enterobacteriaceae. The record is from RNAcentral.
CUAGAGAUAGCUUAGUGCCUUCCGGGUAACGUCUGAGGACAGGUGCUGCAUGGCUGUCGUCAGCUCGUGUUGUGAAAUGUUGGGUUAAGUCCCGCAACGAGCGCAACCCUUAUCCUUUGUUGCCAGCGAGUAAUGUCGGGAACUCAAAGGAGACUGCCGGUGAUAAACCGGAGGAAGGUGGGGAUGACGUCAAGUCAUCAUGGCCCUUACGAGUAGGGCUACACACGUGCUACAAUGGCAUAUACAAAGAGAAGCGAACUCGCGAGAGCAAGCGGACCUCAUAAAGUAUGUCGUAGUCCGGAUUGGAGUCUGCAACUCGACUCCAUGAAGUCGGAAUCGCUAGUAAUCGUAGAUCAGAAUGCUACGGUGAAUACGUUCCCGGGCCUU